AAGCUAAUGGUUAAUAGCCAUUAGCCCUGACGUUACCUUUAGAAGAAGCACCGGCUAACUCCGUGCCAGCAGCCGCGGUAAUACGGAGGGUGCAAGCGUUAAUCGGAAUUACUGGGCGUAAAGCGCGCGUAGGCGGCUCUUUAAGUCGGAUGUGAAAGCCCCGGGCUCAACCUGGGAACUGCAUCCGAUACUGGAGGGCUAGAGUGUAGGAGAGGGAGGUAGAAUUCCAUGUGUAGCAGUGAAAUGCGUAGAUAUAUGGAGGAAUACCAGUGGCGAAGGCGGCCUCCUGGCUUAACACUGACGCUGAGGUGCGAAAGCGUGGGGAGCAAACGGGAUUAGAUACCCCGGUAGUCCACGCCGUAAACGAUGUCUACUAGCUGUAGGGGUACUUGAGACCUUUGUAGCGCAGCUAACGCAC
Molecule: ribosomal RNA, 418 nt
Filed under: uncultured Gammaproteobacteria bacterium
Lineage: Bacteria; Pseudomonadati; Pseudomonadota; Gammaproteobacteria
Description: bacterial SSU rRNA
Rfam family: Bacterial small subunit ribosomal RNA
Source: RNAcentral